UACGUAGGGUGCAAGCGUUAAUCGGAAUUACUGGGCGUAAAGCGUGCGCAGGCGGUUCGGAAAGAAAGAUGUGAAAUCCCAGGGCUUAACCUUGGAACUGCAUUUUUAACUACCGGGCUAGAGUGUGUCAGAGGGAGGUGGAAUUCCGCGUGUAGCAGUGAAAUGCGUAGAUAUGCGGAGGAACACCGAUGGCGAAGGCAGCCUCCUGGGAUAGCUCAUGCACGAAAGCGUGGGGAGCAAACA
RNAcentral lists this ribosomal RNA (243 nucleotides) under uncultured Bordetella sp. RNAcentral's name for it is "partial 16S ribosomal RNA". It matches the Rfam family "Bacterial small subunit ribosomal RNA", at positions 524 to 774 of the family's 1533-position model. The record is from RNAcentral. Lineage: Bacteria; Pseudomonadati; Pseudomonadota; Betaproteobacteria; Burkholderiales; Alcaligenaceae.